ACCCCACAACACAUGAUAUAUAUCUAAUAAGAUUAAAAGUAAUUAUUUGGUUAAUCUACCAAAGCUUGUCAUACUAACCAUGCAGCAAACCUAUUAGGUUAAAAAAUAAACUUUGAAUACCAAAUAUCAUAAAACAUUCACAUAAGAUAAGAUUUCUCCUCAUUGAUAUGGAACAUUAAACAUCUCCAAAUCUAAAGAAAAA
RNAcentral lists this unclassified non-coding RNA (202 nucleotides) under Hevea brasiliensis (rubber tree). The record is from RNAcentral. Lineage: Eukaryota; Viridiplantae; Streptophyta; Magnoliopsida; Malpighiales; Euphorbiaceae.